AACCUUAUGGACCUGCGGGCGUAUACCUGCGGAGGGAUCAUUACAUGGCGGAGAAGGUGGGCACCUGGCCAAAAAAAACUCCAGGUUGUCAUGCCUUCACGCUCUUCCACCCUUGUCUAUUUGUACCUCUUGUCGUUCCCUCGGCGGGUUUCGACCCGCCGGCGGUAACCAUUGAAAACCCUUUUUGCAGUUUAGCAUCCAAUUCUUCUGAUCAAAUAUCAAAUCGUUACAACUUUCAAC
This 240-nucleotide unclassified non-coding RNA is filed under the name soil metagenome. RNAcentral describes it as "partial contains 5.8S ribosomal RNA, internal transcribed spacer 2, and large subunit ribosomal RNA". The record is from RNAcentral.